This 30-nucleotide non-coding RNA is filed under the name Mus musculus (house mouse). Lineage: Eukaryota; Metazoa; Chordata; Mammalia; Rodentia; Muridae. The record is from RNAcentral.
UGAGGUAGUGAGAGAAUUCUUUUCCCUGAA